AGUGAUGUAUGCGCAGGGCAUUGUUGCUCUGUCUCCAUAUCUGGAAGACCCAUAUUCACAACAUGGAUAUAAACAUUACUACGAUCCAGAGAGCAGUUCAGGAUACAUUGCAUGGCGGUUGAAGACCAUUCAAAGAAAAGCUGUGGAGGAAAGAAGCGUCUCAGUUUGCAAAUCUCCCAAAAAUAGAACAAGAUUUCCGACUCCUGUUUUGUGAGGUCACUGGGAGCAAAUUCUUGGAGAGGUGGCUCACCAAUCUCAAAGCAAAGGUUGUAAAGGAAAGUCAUGGACU
Non-coding RNA from Maylandia zebra (zebra mbuna), 289 nucleotides. Lineage: Eukaryota; Metazoa; Chordata; Actinopteri; Cichliformes; Cichlidae. The record is from RefSeq and is a predicted model, not a curated record.